GGCAAUAUAGCUCAGUUGAUAAGGUACUUGCCUAGCAUACAGGAAGCCAUGGGUUUAAUUCCCAUUGUAGCAC
RNAcentral lists this transfer RNA (73 nucleotides) under Mesocricetus auratus (golden hamster). It matches the Rfam family "tRNA". From Rfam's summary of the family: Transfer RNA (tRNA) molecules are approximately 80 nucleotides in length. Their secondary structure includes four short double-helical elements and three loops (D, anti-codon, and T loops). Further hydrogen bonds mediate the characteristic L-shaped molecular structure. tRNAs have two regions of fundamental functional importance: the anti-codon, which is responsible for specific mRNA codon recognition, and the 3' end, to which the tRNAs corresponding amino acid is attached (by aminoacyl-tRNA synthetases). tRNAs cope with the degeneracy of the genetic code in two manners: having more than one tRNA (with a specific anti-codon) for a particular amino acid; and 'wobble' base-pairing, i.e. permitting non-standard base-pairing at the 3rd anti-codon position. The record is from Rfam by way of RNAcentral. Lineage: Eukaryota; Metazoa; Chordata; Mammalia; Rodentia; Cricetidae.